GAGGGGCGGGCAAGCUGGGAGAGGAAGGAGCUCAGGGGCUGCUUCCUCCCCUGAUGUUGACUUGACUGUUGACUUGAGUGAGUUGAAACCUCCUCUGAGCAAUCUCCAUGUUGUAUGUCCUGUUUGUCCCCACUACUGCUGUCCCUCUUCAGAAACUCAUCACUUCUUAUCAGGAAAUGUGUAAAAUGAGAAAAAGAAAGAGAGGAUGGAGGCCAGAGCAGAAGCCAGUGGAGCCUGAGAAGGAGCUGCAGUGGAGCAGAAGUAAGCCUCAGGUUGAGAUGAUGACAUUACAAGAUGAAAAUAGCAUGGAUCACUGGAAGCAAGCUGCCUGGGGGAGCCACUUGACCUGCAGUGGACGUUGCAUGAGAAAGAAAUGUACUUUUAAGUGAUCGGCCACUGACGUUCAGAUGAAGAGGAUAAAUGGGUCCAGAAAUAGGAAUUGUAUGAUGCUGGUGUACGAUCUAUUGAUGCUGGACGUGGAGGAGAACCAAGAGUCAAGACAUGGAUUGAAAACGAAAAGCUGAAAAAGCUCACAAGAAGACAACAGGGGCCAGCUCCAAGGCUCAGUGUGUCUAGAGAAGAGGUGAAGUCCUCAGUGGCAGCCUGUUUCUUUUCGGUAAUAAUCUCCCUAGGUGCUGUAAUAGAGAGAAGGAAAUGAAACUGAGAAGGGGUAGAGAAAUUCUGCAGUGGUAACAGGUUUGUGUGCAACAUACGUAUCCUUCAUUUAGGAAGAAACCCUCGGAAUUAGGUGGAGCUGAUAUAAAAUAAGACCUGUGAACUCAAGAGGCCCACAGAAGGUGAACAUUUCCUUAGGGUUGAUAAUGGCCUGAGUAUAUUCACUCUGUGGUCAGGGGCAUGGAAGAGUUGGGCUGCUUAUUGUGUUCUUACUACGUGGACCAGAACAGAGUGGUUUGAGCCCCCUGAUCAGAAGAUAAAGAAAAGAGAAAACUUCAGCUGCUUUAUGUAAACCCAAUCUGGUACUCUCUGGCACAAAAU
RNAcentral lists this long non-coding RNA (996 nucleotides) under Equus caballus (horse). RNAcentral describes it as "lncRNA (ENSECAG00000056245.1)". Lineage: Eukaryota; Metazoa; Chordata; Mammalia; Perissodactyla; Equidae. The record is from RNAcentral.